This 429-nucleotide ribosomal RNA is filed under the name bacterium. RNAcentral's name for it is "partial 16S ribosomal RNA". It matches the Rfam family "Bacterial small subunit ribosomal RNA", at positions 355 to 776 of the family's 1533-position model. The record is from RNAcentral.
UAGGGAAUCUUCGGCAAUGGGGGCAACCCUGACCGAGCAACGCCGCGUGAGUGAAGAAGGUUUUCGGAUCGUAAAGCUCUGUUGUAAGAGAAGAACGUGUGUGAGAGUGGAAAGUUCACACAGUGACGGUAACUUACCAGAAAGGGACGGCUAACUACGUGCCAGCAGCCGCGGUAAUACGUAGGUCCCGAGCGUUGUCCGGAUUUAUUGGGCGUAAAGCGAGCGCAGGCGGUUUAAUAAGUCUGAAGUUAAAGGCAGUGGCUUAACCAUUGUUCGCUUUGGAAACUGUUAAACUUGAGUGCAGAAGGGGAGAGUGGAAUUCCAUGUGUAGCGGUGAAAUGCGUAGAUAUAUGGAGGAACACCGGUGCCGAAAGCGGCUCUCUGGUCUGUAACUGACGCUGAGGCUCGAAAGCGUGGGGAGCAAACAGG